RNAcentral lists this ribosomal RNA (2926 nucleotides) under Escherichia coli. RNAcentral's name for it is "bacterial LSU rRNA". It matches the Rfam family "Bacterial large subunit ribosomal RNA". The record is from RNAcentral. Lineage: Bacteria; Pseudomonadati; Pseudomonadota; Gammaproteobacteria; Enterobacterales; Enterobacteriaceae.
GGGUUGUGAGGUUAAGCGACUAAGCGUACACGGUGGAUGCCCUGGCAGUCAGAGGCGAUGAAGGACGUGCUAAUCUGCGAUAAGCGUCGGUAAGGUGAUAUGAACCGUUAUAACCGGCGAUUUCCGAAUGGGGAAACCCAGUGUGAUUCGUCACACUAUCAUUAACUGAAUCCAUAGGUUAAUGAGGCGAACCGGGGGAACUGAAACAUCUAAGUACCCCGAGGAAAAGAAAUCAACCGAGAUUCCCCCAGUAGCGGCGAGCGAACGGGGAGCAGCCCAGAGCCUGAAUCAGUGUGUGUGUUAGUGGAAGCGUCUGGAAAGGCGCGCGAUACAGGGUGACAGCCCCGUACACAAAAAUGCACAUGCUGUGAGCUCGAUGAGUAGGGCGGGACACGUGGUAUCCUGUCUGAAUAUGGGGGGACCAUCCUCCAAGGCUAAAUACUCCUGACUGACCGAUAGUGAACCAGUACCGUGAGGGAAAGGCGAAAAGAACCCCGGCGAGGGGAGUGAAAAAGAACCUGAAACCGUGUACGUACAAGCAGUGGGAGCACGCUUAGGCGUGUGACUGCGUACCUUUUGUAUAAUGGGUCAGCGACUUAUAUUCUGUAGCAAGGUUAACCGAAUAGGGGAGCCGAAGGGAAACCGAGUCUUAACUGGGCGUUAAGUUGCAGGGUAUAGACCCGAAACCCGGUGAUCUAGCCAUGGGCAGGUUGAAGGUUGGGUAACACUAACUGGAGGACCGAACCGACUAAUGUUGAAAAAUUAGCGGAUGACUUGUGGCUGGGGGUGAAAGGCCAAUCAAACCGGGAGAUAGCUGGUUCUCCCCGAAAGCUAUUUAGGUAGCGCCUCGUGAAUUCAUCUCCGGGGGUAGAGCACUGUUUCGGCAAUCAUCCCGACUUACCAACCCGAUGCAAACUGCGAAUACCGGAGAAUGUUAUCACGGGAGACACACGGCGGGUGCUAACGUCCGUCGUGAAGAGGGAAACAACCCAGACCGCCAGCUAAGGUCCCAAAGUCAUGGUUAAGUGGGAAACGAUGUGGGAAGGCCCAGACAGCCAGGAUGUUGGCUUAGAAGCAGCCAUCAUUUAAAGAAAGCGUAAUAGCUCACUGGUCGAGUCGGCCUGCGCGGAAGAUGUAACGGGGCUAAACCAUGCACCGAAGCUGCGGCAGCGACACUAUGUGUUGUUGGGUAGGGGAGCGUUCUGUAAGCCUGUGAAGGUGUGCUGUGAGGCAUGCUGGAGGUAUCAGAAGUGCGAAUGCUGACAUAAGUAACGAUAAAGCGGGUGAAAAGCCCGCUCGCCGGAAGACCAAGGGUUCCUGUCCAACGUUAAUCGGGGCAGGGUGAGUCGACCCCUAAGGCGAGGCCGAAAGGCGUAGUCGAUGGGAAACAGGUUAAUAUUCCUGUACUUGGUGUUACUGCGAAGGGGGGACGGAGAAGGCUAUGUUGGCCGGGCGACGGUUGUCCCGGUUUAAGCGUGUAGGCUGGUUUUCCAGGCAAAUCCGGAAAAUCAAGGCUGAGGCGUGAUGACGAGGCACUACGGUGCUGAAGCAACAAAUGCCCUGCUUCCAGGAAAAGCCUCUAAGCAUCAGGUAACAUCAAAUCGUACCCCAAACCGACACAGGUGGUCAGGUAGAGAAUACCAAGGCGCUUGAGAGAACUCGGGUGAAGGAACUAGGCAAAAUGGUGCCGUAACUUCGGGAGAAGGCACGCUGAUAUGUAGGUGAAGUCCCUCGCGGAUGGAGCUGAAAUCAGUCGAAGAUACCAGCUGGCUGCAACUGUUUAUUAAAAACACAGCACUGUGCAAACACGAAAGUGGACGUAUACGGUGUGACGCCUGCCCGGUGCCGGAAGGUUAAUUGAUGGGGUCAGCGCAAGCGAAGCUCUUGAUCGAAGCCCCGGUAAACGGCGGCCGUAACUAAUAACGGUCCUAAGGUAGCGAAAUUCCUUGUCGGGUAAGUUCCGACCUGCACGAAUGGCGUAAUGAUGGCCAGGCUGUCUCCACCCGAGACUCAGUGAAAUUGAACUCGCUGUGAAGAUGCAGUGUACCCGCGGCAAGACGGAAAGACCCCGUGAACCUUUACUAUAGCUUGACACUGAACAUUGAGCCUUGAUGUGUAGGAUAGGUGGGAGGCUUUGAAGUGUGGACGCCAGUCUGCAUGGAGCCGACCUUGAAAUACCACCCUUUAAUGUUUGAUGUUCUAACGUUGACCCGUGAUCCGGGUUGCGGACAGUGUCUGGUGGGUAGUUUGACUGGGGCGGUCUCCUCCUAAAGAGUAACGGAGGAGCACGAAGGUUGGCUAAUCCUGGUCGGACAUCAGGAGGUUAGUGCAAUGGCAUAAGCCAGCUUGACUGCGAGCGUGACGGCGCGAGCAGGUGCGAAAGCAGGUCAUAGUGAUCCGGUGGUUCUGAAUGGAAGGGCCAUCGCUCAACGGAUAAAAGGUACUCCGGGGAUAACAGGCUGAUACCGCCCAAGAGUUCAUAUCGACGGCGGUGUUUGGCACCUCGAUGUCGGCUCAUCACAUCCUGGGGCUGAAGUAGGUCCCAAGGGUAUGGCUGUUCGCCAUUUAAAGUGGUACGCGAGCUGGGUUUAGAACGUCGUGAGACAGUUCGGUCCCUAUCUGCCGUGGGCGCUGGAGAACUGAGGGGGGCUGCUCCUAGUACGAGAGGACCGGAGUGGACGCAUCACUGGUGUUCGGGUUGUCAUGCCAAUGGCACUGCCCGGUAGCUAAAUGCGGAAGAGAUAAGUGCUGAAAGCAUCUAAGCACGAAACUUGCCCCGAGAUGAGUUCUCCCUGACUCCUUGAGAGUCCUGAAGGAACGUUGAAGACGACGACGUUGAUAGGCCGGGUGUGUAAGCGCAGCGAUGCGUUGAGCUAACCGGUACUAAUGAACCGUGAGGCUUAACCUUACAACGCCGAAGGUGUUU